RNAcentral lists this long non-coding RNA (284 nucleotides) under Setaria viridis. RNAcentral describes it as "long non-coding RNA (SVIR_LNC007203)". Lineage: Eukaryota; Viridiplantae; Streptophyta; Magnoliopsida; Poales; Poaceae. The record is from RNAcentral.
AUCGUGAAACCAAGAACUCAAAGGUGAUCACAAGAACACGAAGGUUUAGACAGGUUCGAGCCUCCAAAGAGUAAUACCCUACAUCCUAUGUUUUGCUGGAUUGUAUUGCUUUGCGUGGGUGCGAAGUAUAGAUUGGAUUGGAUGGAUUGCCCUCGGGAGGCACCCUUAGCCACCUUAUGUAGGCUGACAACCUAGGGUUACAAGUCGGUUAGAAUCUAAUCCUAGUCGAUUUUUACGUGGAAAACAUUCUGAGUUGGAUUACAGCAAGUAUCCCACAAUAUCCG